GCAUAUCAAUAAGCGGAGGAAAAGAAACCAACAGGGAUUGCCCCAGUAACGGCGAGUGAAGCGGCAAAAGCUCAAAUUUGAAAUCCUGCGGGAAUUGUAAUUUGAAGGUUUCGUGGUCUGAGUCGGCCGCGCCCAAGUCCAUUGGAACAUGGCGCCUGGGAGGGUGAGAGCCCCGUAUGGCGCACGCCGACUCUUUGCACCGCGGCUCCGACGAGUCGAGUUGUUUGGGAAUGCAGCUCUAAGUGGGUGGUAAAUUCCAUCUAAAGCUAAAUAUCGGCGAGAGACCGAUAGCGAACAAGUACAGUGAUGGAAAGAUGAAAAGCACUUUGAAAAGAGAGUGAAACAGCACGUGAAAUUGUUGAAAGGGAAGGGCUUGCAAGCAGACACGGUUUACCGGGCCAGCGUCGAAUAAGGGGGGGAAAAAGAGGGAAAGAAUGUGGCGCGUGCCUUCGGGUGCGCGUGUUAUAGCUUUCUCUAAUACCCCCAUGUUUGUUUGAGGCCUGCGAUUCUAGGACGCUGGC
This 521-nucleotide ribosomal RNA is filed under the name Clavispora lusitaniae. RNAcentral's name for it is "LSU rRNA". It matches the Rfam family "Eukaryotic large subunit ribosomal RNA", at positions 38 to 630 of the family's 3401-position model. Lineage: Eukaryota; Fungi; Ascomycota; Pichiomycetes; Serinales; Metschnikowiaceae. The record is from RNAcentral.